This 756-nucleotide ribosomal RNA is filed under the name Selaginella sanguinolenta. Its description in RNAcentral is "partial large subunit ribosomal RNA". The record is from RNAcentral. Lineage: Eukaryota; Viridiplantae; Streptophyta; Lycopodiopsida; Selaginellales; Selaginellaceae.
AGGAGAUGGAACUAACAAGGAUUUCCUUAGUAACGGCGAGCGAACCGGAAGUUGCCCAGCUUGGAAAUCAGGACAUUCCGUGCCCUGAAUUGUAGUCUGGAGAAGCGUCCUCUGCAGCGGACCGGGCCUAGGUUCCUUGGAAUGGGACGCCGGAGAGGGUGAGAGCCCCGUCCGGCCCGGACCCUGCUGUUCCACGAGGUGCUGUCGACGAGUCGGGCUGUUUGGGAAUGCAGCCUUAAGCGGGUGGUAAAUCUCAUCCAAGGCUAAAUAUUGGCGAGAGACCGAUAGUGAACAAGUACCGCGAGGGAAAGAUGAAAAGGACUUUGAAAAGAGAGUUAAAAAGUGCUUGAAAUUGCUGGGAGGGAAGCGAAUGGAUGCCUUGCGUGCCUCCCGGUUGUGUGCGGAACGGUGUGAGCUGGUCCGCGGAUCAACGCGGGGGGUCGGCCAGCGUCGGUGGGGGUGGUGGGAUAAGUGUCGGGCACUUGUGGUCCGGCCGAUGCCGCUGCCCCCUCCGGGGCUCGAGUGGUGCGCCACAUCUGUGGCGGGCUGAAGCACCUGCGCUGCUCGGACGCUGGCAUCUCGGGCCUUCCAUCCGACCCGUCUUGAAACACGGACCAAGGAGUCUAACAUGUAUGCGAGCCGGUGGGUGCCAAACCCGGUGAGGCRAAAGGAAACUGAUUCGWGGGAUCCCCUUUGGGGUGCACCAUGGACCGACCGUGAUCUUCUGUGAAAGGUUUGAGUGUGAGCAUACCUGCU